UUCCUUCAAUCAUGCAUGUUUCUGAGUUGAACCAUAAUAAACCCGUUGAACACAGUAAUCCUACGGUUCCUCCAAGUUUUGAUUUCCCUGUGUAUGAAGCCGAAGAUGAGGAGGGUGAUGACAUACCAUAUGAGAUCACUCGGUUACUUGAGCAGGAAAAGAAAGCCAUUCAGCCUCACCAGGAAGAGAUUGAGCUUAUCAACAUAGGUACCGAGGAAAACAAGCGAGAAAUCAAGAUUGGUGCUACUCUAAAGGAAGGGGUUAAACAGAAGAUUGUCCAGCUCCUCCGGGAAUAUCCGGAUAUUUUUGC
Molecule: long non-coding RNA, 310 nt
Filed under: Medicago truncatula (barrel medic)
Lineage: Eukaryota; Viridiplantae; Streptophyta; Magnoliopsida; Fabales; Fabaceae
Description: lncRNA gene16179
Source: RNAcentral